CACGCGGAUAAUUCUACGGUAGGCUACUGUUGUAGCACUUGCAUAAUCAACAUAAAUAUGUGCAUGCGGAGCUCCAACUAAGCUAUUUUCAAACCAACUUGACGAGGAAACUAUACAAGCACGAUAUGCUGUAUUGCUAUCGUAACCGCUUGACUUACAGAUGAAGCAGGUUACCGGUGUUUCAUUUUUCGGAAGACUAGUGAAUGGAAAGGAUGCAGCUUUUUAGUUCGUUUUGCAGUUUGUCUCUUGGAAUUAGAAGAGGAUACCCUGGAAAGAAAGGGUACUGGGGUAAACGACGAUGAGAAUAUAGAAUUUGAUAGCGCACAAUGGAUACGUAUCUGACUGUAAGCUGAAAUAGUAAGCUGAUGAGUUGGAACUGGGCUUCAUCACUGGCCAGGAGGAGAAGUCACCUUGCAGCAUUCAUCUUAGGGAGGAGAAAGGGAGACAUUUGAUUGGUUCUUGCCUGGAGGGAGAAGACAAGAUGGAGUACAGCAGCAGCUCAUCAAUCCUACAGUCAACUGAAACUGACCUGGACUCAAAUGUAACUUCACCUGCUGCAUCAGUUGACGCCGAGGCUGAGAACAGACCAUCAUCGGAACCUGCCACGUCUAAUCACCAAUGACCUGUCCACAAAAAACAACCUAUGAGUGUCUCUCCAGGGACAUCCUCUUCAAGAGCGCCAAAGAAAAUGAGGAAGAACGAUGACCUGACUGCUCGACUUCUGGAUGAGCAUAGAAAGGAGAGGGAAGAGAGACAUGCCAUAUUCACAUACGCAUGAUGACGAUAUUGCAAGAUUUUGUCACACCAUAGUUGACCUGAUCCGCGAACUGCCAUAACGUAAAAAAGGUCCAGCCAAGUUUAAAAUCCUUCAGGAGAGUGCUGGAGACACAGCUGGCUUAAGACACUGUUUGAAUACACACCCCGAUGUGGCUAAAGUAGUCUUUUUCCAAAGUGGCUAAAUAACUUUUGUUUGUGAUUUGAG
Esox lucius (northern pike) is the source of this 982-nucleotide long non-coding RNA. Lineage: Eukaryota; Metazoa; Chordata; Actinopteri; Esociformes; Esocidae. The record is from Ensembl.